This 745-nucleotide long non-coding RNA is filed under the name Lathyrus oleraceus (garden pea). Its description in RNAcentral is "Pisum sativum (pea) long non-coding RNA (PSAT_LNC040149)". The record is from RNAcentral. Lineage: Eukaryota; Viridiplantae; Streptophyta; Magnoliopsida; Fabales; Fabaceae.
GAGAGAGACGCGACUGUUGAGUUUUGCUGAGAACGAUUGAGAGAGACGCGAUUGGAAACGAUUUUGAGGGAGACGAGUUCGGGAGAGUGGUGUGGUACAGAAUGAGAGCGAUGGAGAGUUUGAGAGAGGAAGAGUUCAGUUCAACGACGCUAGCUUUUUCAUUUUCUUUUUUUAUUAUUAGUUAACUUAGGAAUGUUUAAAAACCAUUUAACUCCAUUUAAGUGACCUUUGAGUAUUUCCAGUAGACAUUAACACAUCAUUUUGGUAUUCCCCAACCAUUAAUCUCUAAAACCCAACAGUCAGGCGGCUGGGUUUUUUUGGGGUAAUCCAACAGUUUUUAUUAUUAUUAUUAUUUUGGUUUUAUUUUCUUUAAUUUUUUUUGUUCCAAUCCUUUCUGAUUUAUAAAGCCCAUUUGUCAUAGUAAAUAAUAACCAGUCAUGAAUGGCCUAGUGGAGAGAGGUUAGUUUCAUAGUCUUGAGUGGGGUGGGUUCAAUACUCAUAUGUAGCACUUUUUUAGCAUUUUAUUUCUUUUAGCAUUUUAUUUCUUUUAAUAUUUUUUAUGUUUAUGUUUUAUUAUACUCAUGGUUUCAUUAUUAUUUAAUAACACAAAUCUGUUUUUUUUAUUAUUAAUUUCAUCAUCCAUUCAAAACCAUUUUAAACUAUUAAAAUCACACUUUUCUCGAUUCAAUGUCGAGCCCAUUUUCAUACCCUUGUAAGUCGAUUGCUUUUAAGCAUCGCCAUCAAC